RNAcentral lists this ribosomal RNA (317 nucleotides) under uncultured bacterium. Its description in RNAcentral is "bacterial SSU rRNA". It matches the Rfam family "Bacterial small subunit ribosomal RNA", at positions 1190 to 1510 of the family's 1533-position model. The record is from RNAcentral.
UCAUCAUGCCCCUUAUGUCCAGGGCUUCACACAUGCUACAAUGGUCGGUACAACGCGCAACACUGUGAGGUGGAGCGAAUCGCUGAAAGCCGGCCUUAGUUCGGAUUGGGGUCUGCAACUCGACCCCAUGAAGUCGGAGUCGCUAGUAAUCGCAGAUCAGCAAUGCUGCGGUGAAUACGUUCCCGGGCCUUGUACACACCGCCCGUCACGUCAUGAAAGUUGGUAACACCCGAAGCCGGUGGCCCAAACUUGUUAGGGAGCCGUCGAAGGUGGGAUCGGCGAUUGGGACGAAGCGUAACAAGGUACCCGUACCGGAA